AACGAACGCUGGCGGCGUGCCUAACACAUGCAAGUCGUGCGAGAAAGUUCCUUCGGGAGCGAGUAAAGCGGCGAACGGGUGAGGAAUGCAUGGGUAACCUACCCUCGAGUGGGGAAUAACUAGCCGAAAGGUUAGCUAAUACCGCAUACGUUUCCGGAACUUCGGUUUCGGAAAGAAAGCAAUACCGUGGGUAUUGCGCUCCUGGAUGGGCUCAUGUCCUAUCAGCUUGUUGGUGAGGUAACGGCUCACCAAGGCUUCGACGGGUAGCUGGUCUGAGAGGACGAUCAGCCACACUGGCACUGCGACACGGGCCAGACUCCUACGGGAGGCAGCAGUAAGGAAUAUUGCGCAAUGGACGAAAGUCUGACGCAGCGACGCCGCGUGGGGGAUGAAGGUCUUCGGAUUGUAAACCCCUUUCGGGAGGGAAGAUGGAGUGGGUAACCACUUGGACGGUACCUCCAGAAGCAGCCACGGCUAACUUCGUGCCAGCAGCCGCGGUAAU
This 502-nucleotide ribosomal RNA is filed under the name uncultured bacterium. RNAcentral's name for it is "bacterial SSU rRNA". It matches the Rfam family "Bacterial small subunit ribosomal RNA", at positions 29 to 524 of the family's 1533-position model. The record is from RNAcentral.